RNAcentral lists this ribosomal RNA (975 nucleotides) under human gut metagenome. RNAcentral's name for it is "bacterial LSU rRNA". It matches the Rfam family "Bacterial large subunit ribosomal RNA", at positions 1956 to 2925 of the family's 2925-position model. The record is from RNAcentral.
GUAGCGAAAUUCCUUGUCGGGUAAGUUCCGACCUGCACGAAUGGCGUAAUGAUGGCCAGGCUGUCUCCACCCGAGACUCAGUGAAAUUGAACUCGCUGUGAAGAUGCAGUGUACCCGCGGCAAGACGGAAAGACCCCGUGAACCUUUACUAUAGCUUGACACUGAACACUGGUCCUUGAUGUGUAGGAUAGGUGGGAGGCUUUGAAGCGUGGACGCCAGUCUGCGUGGAGCCAACCUUGAAAUACCACCCUUUAAUGGCUGGUGUUCUAACGUAGACCCGUAAUCCGGGUUGCGGACAGUGUCUGGUGGGUAGUUUGACUGGGGCGGUCUCCUCCCAAAGAGUAACGGAGGAGCACGAAGGUUGGCUAAUCCUGGUCGGACAUCAGGAGGUUAGUGCAAUGGCAUAAGCCAGCUUGACUGCGAGCGUGACGGCGCGAGCAGGUGCGAAAGCAGGUCAUAGUGAUCCGGUGGUUCUGAAUGGAAGGGCCAUCGCUCAACGGAUAAAAGGUACUCCGGGGAUAACAGGCUGAUACCGCCCAAGAGUUCAUAUCGACGGCGGUGUUUGGCACCUCGAUGUCGGCUCAUCACAUCCUGGGGCUGAAGUAGGUCCCAAGGGUAUGGCUGUUCGCCAUUUAAAGUGGUACGCGAGCUGGGUUUAGAACGUCGUGAGACAGUUCGGUCCCUAUCUGCCGUGGGCGCUGGAGAAUUGAGGGGGGCUGCUCCUAGUCCGAGAGGCCCGGAGUGGACACAUCACUGGUGUUCGGGUUGUCAUGCCAAUGGCACUGCCCGGUAGCUAAAUGCGGAAGAGAUAAGUGCUGAAAGCAUCUAAGCACGAAACUUGCCCCGAGAUGAGUUCUCCCUGAGACCUUGAGUCUCCUGAAGGAACGUUGAAGACGACGACGUUGAUAGGUCGGGUGUGUAAGCGCAGCGAUGCGUUGAGCUAACCGAUACUAAUGAACCGUGAGGCUUAACCUU